ACGGAGGAUCCAAGCGUUAUCCGGAUUUAUUGGGUUUAAAGGGUGCGCAGGCGGAAUAGUAAGUCAGUGGUGAAAUCCUGCAGCUUAACUGCAGAACUGCCAUUGAUACUGUUAUUCUUGAGUAUAUUUGAAGUGGGCGGAAUGUGUCAUGUAGCGGUGAAAUGCUUAGAUAUGACACAGAACACCAAUUGCGAAGGCAGCUCACUAAACUAUAACUGACGCUCAUGCACGAAAGCGUGGGGAUCAAACAG
RNAcentral lists this ribosomal RNA (251 nucleotides) under uncultured prokaryote. RNAcentral describes it as "partial 16S rRNA". It matches the Rfam family "Bacterial small subunit ribosomal RNA", at positions 525 to 775 of the family's 1533-position model. The record is from RNAcentral.